AAUCAACCUGCCCUUCAGAGGGGGACAACAGUUGGAAACGACUGCUAAUACCGCAUACGAUCUAACCUCGGCAUCGAGGAAAGAUGAAAGGUGGCCUCUAUUUAUAAGCUAUCACUGAAGGAGGGGAUUGCGUCUGAUUAGCUAGUUGGAGGGGUAACGGCCCACCAAGGCGAUGAUCAGUAGCCGGUCUGAGAGGAUGAACGGCCACAUUGGGACUGAGACACGGCCCAGACUCCUACGGGAGGCAGCAUG
Molecule: ribosomal RNA, 252 nt
Filed under: uncultured bacterium
Lineage: Bacteria
Description: partial 16S ribosomal RNA
Rfam family: Bacterial small subunit ribosomal RNA
Source: RNAcentral